Molecule: long non-coding RNA, 4907 nt
Organism: Triticum dicoccoides
Lineage: Eukaryota; Viridiplantae; Streptophyta; Magnoliopsida; Poales; Poaceae
Exons: 18
Source: RefSeq, a predicted model, not a curated record
CUUUUCACAUUGGAGAUUAAACCUCCGUCAUCUCAGGUUGGUCAUUUACUCAAAUACUCUCUAUAGGAAUUGGAGGAUCAUCUUUGGGGCCUCAAUUUGUUUCUGAGGCACUUGCGUCUGAUAACCCCCCAUUGAAGAUACGAUUUAUUGACAACACCGACCCUGCUGGAAUUGAUCAUCAAAUUGCUCAACUAGGGGAGGAAAUUAAAUCUACUCUUGUAAUUCUAAUCUCUAAGAGUGGUGGUACACCUGAAACCCGGAAUGGUCUACUAGAAGAACAAAAGGCCUUCAGAGAUGCUGGACUGGAUUUUUCAAAACAGCGGCACUACCAUACUGCAAGGGGUCUGGAACGCGGGUAUUUUGGAACGGCAACUUCACCAUCUAUAUGGCCAUACAAGUCCCCACAUAACAAGUCAGUUUCUGGUAGUCCCCAUGAAGAUAUAUACCUGAAGUGUUCCUGAAGGAGUGUUGAAGAAUGAAAAGUGGAGUUUUGGUCAAGUGGAAUAUGAUGGCAGACCAUAGUAUUAUUAAGGAGCUCUUAAGUUGAUGACAGAAAUUCUCUCUGGACACUGCUACAUGUUCCACUAGACGAGUAACUUCUGCUUGACUAUCUUGCAGUUGUCCAAGAUUUUCCUGUUUAGAAGCAUAGUCAUAUCCAGGGGUCAUGCUCGGAUCGUGUUGACUGCAAAGUCAGGCUGCAACAGCAAGACCCUGCCAUGCCAAGUCCUUGGAGGCAUAUGGUUUCGUAGGGUCCAUCAUGCCGCCUAUGCUGUGCUUGCGCACAUCGUGUCCGCAUAUGCUCCGGAGCCGUGACUCCUCCAUCGGCGCCACUGGCUAUCCCAAGUGCCAAAUCAUGCUCAUGGAGGGACCUCUGCAAAAGAGAAAUAGCCAGACACUUAUAGUAGAUGAAGCUCACCAUUCGUAUCAUGAGAAUGUGGGAACACACUAAUACGGAUUCUACUUUGUUAGAUGGUCCAAAUUUCCUUAUGGUUGAUCACAAGGGCAACACAAUGGAAGGAACGAUCCCCACAUAUAGGAUGUGUAUCUAUGAAAAUGAGUUCCAAGAAGGGGUCAUAUAUACGAUUGGAAACUUUUGUGAUACGUACAACCAGGAAAAAAAAUAGAGGGCGGUGGAGCAUCCGUUCUGGAUCAGUUUUGCUCAACAAACAUUAAUAUAACCAGUCGUUCCGCAACCAGAAGAUUCUGUGUGUGGUUACACUGCUUAUCCGCUUUCACAAUUUGAAAAGUGCAUCAGGCAAAAUGUUUUCAUCUUAGGUUGAACAAUCGAGGAGGCCGAGGGAUGACUAUAUUGGGGUCGUGGUGGAUUGGCUGAUGGAUGUGAUUGAUGAGUUCAAACUUCUGGCUGACACACUUUACCUUCUGAUUCAUAUAUUGGCCAAUUCCUCGCAGCGGGACAAGUUGAGUUUCUUGGUGUCGCUUCAUUACUUGUUGCUGUGUAUGGCCUAAACUUUAUUCUAUCUCUUUGUGCGUGUCUCUUUACUGUCCAACUAGCAUGACUGUGGUACUAUAGGAAGUACAAAGAGAUUCAUCUAGGUAAGAUGAACAAAUUCAGUGACACUACUGACGGCACAUACACGAAUCAGCAGAUAGUGAAGAUGGAGGCCGAAUUUAUACAGUGGGUCUGUUCCAGCACCUACUUUUGAUCAUAUGAAACUAAAAAGAUAGAAGGUACUUCCCAUGCAAGAUCUUAUCCUAUGCGAAGUUAUUCUGCGGGUUUUGUUGUAAGACAUUUAUGAGCAGUUUGCCCAUGUUGCAAGAUCUUAGGACCUCUCAUGUUUGGGAUUCCUCCUUUCUACUUUGUUAGAAUACAAUUGCAGGAAUCACAGGUGAUGAGACAGCGCAGCUCUCAUUUCUGGUGAGAGGCGCCAUCGGCAGCAAGUCAGCAUAGGGGAUCAUACACCCAGUGUCCGAUAUCUGGGAGAUCCAGGAAGGAGGCGAGUCUGUCCCACGGCGUCGCUGUCCAGGUACAUUAAGGGAGCUCCAUGUCUUGGUUUGCCGCACGUACGUUUACCACGCAGAGGAGCACAUAUGAUCCUCAUAAUAGCAUGUUUGUAAUGAAUUCUGGAACCAAUCGGAAGAUUAAAAUCAGCAAAGCAUAUUCACCCGUCCAGGUACAUUAAGGGAGCUCUAUGUCUUGGUUUGUCGUACGUACGUUUACCACACAGAGGAGCACAUAUGAUCCUCAUAAUAGCAAGUUUGUAAUGAAUUCUGGAACCAAUCGGGAGGUUAAAGUCAGCAAAGCAUAUCACCUGUAGUCAAAUCACUUUUGGUAUAUAUAAGUGCGAUCAAAGAUCAACCUAGACCCAUCAACAUGCAUAAACUAGAUAAGUGGGCACAUGAACGCUCAGGAGGCGUGGCACGCCCCAACCACUAGUAAAACCCAUUAACAGUCGCGUAAUGGGCGGACCCUCGCAGUAGCCACGUCAUCACCGAUUCCUGACCGUCCGAUCCGUUCAUUUAUACAAUCUCAUCCGUUGGUUUUUUCAGUGGUGGAGGUAUAAAGGCAGCUAGCCCACCCAAAUCCCUCACUCCCCGCGUGCGUCUCCUCUUCCUUCCCUCACGUCGCCGCCGGCCCAUAUCGAAGACAGAGAGAAAGAGCAGGGCACUCACGCAACCCUUCCUCACUGCCGGCUCGUCUCCCCUCCCACCUCAGCGCCGCUGCCUCUGUCUGCUCCGCCUCACUCUCCUCCGUCCCUCAGCGCGCCACGCCAUCUCCACAGGGUCCAGCCUCCACCGAAGCCGAUCUCUCCGCUGAGCACGCCCCGCACCGCCGUUGCUGUCGUGGGCUCCUCGGCACCGCUGCAGACGGGGAGGCGGCCUGUGGGAGGGCCCUAAAUGUGGCCGACGACUCCAUCCCCGCUCGCAUGUGGCGGCGGCCAGCCCAGCUCCGCCUCUUCCGACCCAUCUUCUUGGUAUGCAUCUGGAUGCUUGCCUAAAGAAGGUGUCUGCAUUAUUGAUUCCUUUGGAGGUAAUUUUCUUUCAACGUUCUUGUGUGCUGACAAGUCUUAUUCAUACAUCAGGGCAUCAUUGGUAGUGAAGGAGGACUCUUGCAGGUGCAAAAUAUUAGCAGAGGAAAAUCUAUAUGGUUUGAAGGGUUCAGAUUCAUAAUCUGAUACUAUUAGGACCCUUGAUCCUUCAACCAUUAUGAGAUUUCAAGGCAGAUAGUGCAUCUUGUACUGCUUACCUUGAUUUAAUCAAUGCCUUCUGUAGCUUAAGGUUUAAUUAGCAGACUACUAGUGCUUUGAUAAUCUCCUUUCUGAAUUCCAUACUUGGUACAACAAUGUUCCUCACCCGGUCACCCCAAACUGGUGGAAUAUAAGAAGGAUCAGAACUGGGUCACAAUGUCUGGCGAUUAUCUUGUUUUCUCUGGAGGCAGAACUCAAUUCAAAUAUGGUAUUGCAAGAUAUAUACAGUUUGCAGAACAGGUGCUACGUGACUUCACUGGUCGCGUUAUUGACUGGGAUUUCGAGUACGACAACUUCACAAAAAAUGCUUCGCCGCGGAGCUCGAAGGCUGCUACUAUUACUUCUUGCGCCAUUAUUUGGCAACGUACUGCUGCGGUGUCCAGAGAUGACACCAUUAGUAUGUGUCAGUUGUAUUGGUGACGCUGAGCACAAAACUGUGAAUCUACUCCCUUUUGCUCUAGACUGUGUUUGGUUGUGGCGCCAACUGGCUAUCUCGACAACAUUGACGCUGAAGUUAUCGAGCCUCCGAAGAAUGGGAUGUAGAUGUCGUAGAACUUGUCUGUGAUGUUAUCAAGCAUUCACGGAAUCCAAAUGUCAUAGUUUCUAGAAAUGGGCGUGAGCUAUUGGAAUGCCCCAUGUGUUUGGUUCCCAUGUAUCCUCCAGUUCAUCAGGCCAAGGGUUCAUAAUUGUCGUCCAACUUGCAGCAGUGAAUUGGGUAACAUAAGAUGCCUUGCUUUGGAGAAGGUUGGCGCCUCUCUAGAGGUUCUGUAAAAGUUCCAGAACUUUGGAUGCUUGGGAAUAUAUCCUUAUUAUUGCAAGCUGAAAAAUGAAUCAGAGUGCCAAUACAGACCAUAUACUGGCCCACAUGCAGGUUCUUAAUGCACUGUCGCUGGUGACAUUCCAUAUCAAAUUUCAGAGUGUUCUUUCUGUAGGUUUUAGAUUUUCGUGGAUUUAUGUAAUGGAAUCUUGAUAUGUCAGGAAUGCGUCGAGAAAAUGCAACAUGACUUGAUGUUUGAAGUUACAGCCUUACAGGGGCAUCGACUCAAAUUUGCAACGACGAAUUUUAUACCCCUGCAAACUGUUUAGCUCAGUCUGGUACUUUUCUUUCUCGAACAUAUAAACAGAUUUAGUCCUAUAUCUUGCUCUGUUUAUCAGUGUACUAUUGGCCUGCUUAUCUAAAUAAAAUGGCAGUGCAUAUGACCAUAAUUACGCAGAUUCUUGACAGUUAAAACUAAACCAUGAUUCCAUGUUUAGGGAUGCAAUGAUUCAGUUUGGACAUCCAAUAUCAGUGCGGCGUUGAUGAGCAGUGGCGGGCGAGGCGUGGGAGGUGACGAUGACGAAUGAUAUGGUGAUUAGCAGGUAAAAGAAGCCGUUCAUUUCCAUUGCUCAGCGGGGGCCUCUUCGGGGACUCAUCUAGCAUCAGGCGUUAUUGGAGGAGAGAUGGCUCUCAUGGAUUAGGAUGUUGCACAUCAUUGACGGGUCAUUCCAUGGAUUAGGACGUUGCACAUCAUUGACGGGUCGUUCCGCACACUGCUCUUGUUGUUUGUUCUUGACAUAUCAUGUGUGGUGCUGUACUUUCUGAAUCAGUUGGUGGUUUAUAUUAGCAAGUACUAUCAUUCUGUCACUAUUCUGUCACUUUUGAACCACCGAUAUUGUAUGUGAUCAGUCCUCUAAACUAUAAAACUAUUGCUUUUGUGUUCA